GGAGGGAUGGCAGAGCGGACGAUUGCGACGGUCUUGAAAACCGUUGGGUCUAGUGGCCCCGGGGGUUCGAAUCCCCCUCCCUCCG
Molecule: transfer RNA, 85 nt
Filed under: bacterium
Lineage: Bacteria
Description: tRNA-Ser
Rfam family: tRNA
About the family: Transfer RNA (tRNA) molecules are approximately 80 nucleotides in length. Their secondary structure includes four short double-helical elements and three loops (D, anti-codon, and T loops). Further hydrogen bonds mediate the characteristic L-shaped molecular structure. tRNAs have two regions of fundamental functional importance: the anti-codon, which is responsible for specific mRNA codon recognition, and the 3' end, to which the tRNAs corresponding amino acid is attached (by aminoacyl-tRNA synthetases). tRNAs cope with the degeneracy of the genetic code in two manners: having more than one tRNA (with a specific anti-codon) for a particular amino acid; and 'wobble' base-pairing, i.e. permitting non-standard base-pairing at the 3rd anti-codon position.
Source: RNAcentral